This 458-nucleotide ribosomal RNA is filed under the name uncultured bacterium. RNAcentral's name for it is "partial 16S ribosomal RNA". It matches the Rfam family "Bacterial small subunit ribosomal RNA", at positions 338 to 795 of the family's 1533-position model. The record is from RNAcentral.
CCUACGGGCGGCAGCAGUGAGGAAUAUUGGUCAAUGGCGCGAGCCUGAACCAGCCAAGUCGCGUGAGGGAAGACGGUCCUAUGGAUUGUAAACCUCUUUUGUCGGGGAGCAAAAGACGCCACGCGUGGCGUUCCGAGAGUACCCGAAGAAAAAGCAUCGGCUAACUCCGUGCCAGCAGCGGAGGUAAUACGGAGGAUGCGAGCGUUAUCCGAAUUUAUUGGGUUUAAAGGGUGCGCAGGCGGAAGAUCAAUUCAGCGGUAAAAUUGAGAGGCUCAACCUCUACGAGCAGUUGAAACUGGUUUUCUUGAGUGAGCGAGAAGUAUGCGGAAUGCGUGGUGUAGCGGUGAAAUGCAUAGAGAUCACGAAGAACUCCGAUUGCGAAGGCAGCAUACCGGCGCUCAACUGACGCUCAUGCACGAAAGUGUGGGUAGCGAACAGGAUUAGAUACCCGAGUAGUC